Molecule: ribosomal RNA, 536 nt
Filed under: Coniochaeta hoffmannii
Lineage: Eukaryota; Fungi; Ascomycota; Sordariomycetes; Coniochaetales; Coniochaetaceae
Description: eukaryotic LSU rRNA
Rfam family: 5.8S ribosomal RNA (bases 235-388)
Source: RNAcentral
UUAGAGGAAGUAAAAGUCGUAACAAGGUCUCCGUUGGUGAACCAGCGGAGGGAUCAUUACAAGAAGCCGAAAGGCUACUUCAAACCAUCGCGAACUCGUCCAAGUUGCUUCGGCGGCGCGGCACCCCUUAACGGGGGCGCCGCAGCCCUGCCUCUCCGGAGGUUCGGGGCGCCCGCCGGAGGUACGAAACUCUGUAUUAUAGUGGCAUCUCUGAGUAUAAAACAAAUAAGUUAAAACUUUCAACAACGGAUCUCUUGGUUCUGGCAUCGAUGAAGAACGCAGCGAAAUGCGAUAAGUAAUGUGAAUUGCAGAAUUCAGUGAAUCAUCGAAUCUUUGAACGCACAUUGCGCCCGGUAGUACUCUACCGGGCAUGCCUGUUCGAGCGUCAUUUCAACCCUCAAGCCCUGCUUGGUGUUGGGGCCCUACGGCUGCCGUAGGCCCUGAAAGGAAGUGGCGGGCUCGCUACAACUCCGAGCGUAGUAAUUCAUUAUCUCGCUAGGGAGGUUGCGGCGUGCUCCUGCCGUUAAAGACCCAUC